UCGCUGAGCGACGAAAGCAGAAGAGGGGAGGGGGUGGGGUUGUGAGCGCUGCUCUGUGGAGUUGGGGGCGGCCUGCGAAGGUGUCAUGGCUGCUGCCGCUGAGCCUAGUCGCCCGUGCGUCGGUGACAGGAGCCUGGAGCAGAGCUGCAGCCCCAACCUCUCCCAAGAGGUGCUCUUCGAAAUCUUUCGCUCCCUGCAUACCCUGGCUGGGCAACUUAAUUUCAGAGAUGAUGUGGUGAAAAUUACAAUCGAUUGGAACAAGCUCCAGAGCCUCUCUGCAUUCCAGCCUGCUUUACUCUUUAGUGCUCUUGAGCAACACAUUUUAUAUUUACAGCCUUUUUUAGCAAAACUUCAGCCUCUAAUUAAAGAGGAGAAUACAACUGUUGCUGAAGAGAUAGGAAAAGCAGAAACAGGGAACAAGAAUGAAGUAGAGGCCACAUUUCCCAUUGGCAACCUACAGGAGGAAGAAAAGCACAAAGACUGUGAUUUAGGAGAUGUGAAAAAGGCACAGAUCCAUUUUGACCCAGAAGUAGUUCAAAUAAAGGCUGGAAAAGCAGAAAUUGACAGACGAAUAUCUGCAUUUAUUGAAAGAAAACAAGCAGAAAUCAAUGAAAACAACGUCAGGGAAUUUUGCAAUGUUAUUGAUUGUAAUCAAGAAAAUAGUUGUGCAAGAACUGAUGCCGUUUUCACCCCAUACCCCGGAUUUAAAAGUCAUGUAAAAGUUUCUAGAGUUGUGAAUACAUAUGGACCACAGACUCGACCUGAAGGAAUUCAAGGGUCAGGUCAUAAACCAAGCAGCAUGCUCCGAGAUUGUGGUAAUCAGGCUGUAGAAGAACGGCUACAAAAUAUUGAGGCUCACUUGCGGUUGCAGGCAGGUGGUCCAGUGCCAAGAGACAUUUAUCAGAGAAUUAAAAAACUUGAGGAUAAAAUCCUUGAAUUGGAAGGCAUCUCUCCUGAGUAUUUUCAAUCUGUAAAUUUUUCUGGCAAAAGAAGAAAAGUUCAACCACCUCAACAGAACUACUCACUAGCUGAACUUGAUGAGAAAAUCAGUGCUCUCAAACAGGCCCUGCUUCGGAAAUCAAGAGAAGCAGAUGCCAUGGCAGCUCACCACCUCCCAUGAAAAACUCCUCUCAUCCUUGUACUUUUUUAUAUAAAUGUAUGUAAUUUGCACUGUAAUUAAUUAAAUGGAUGCAUAUUUAUCAAUGUAGACGUCCCUCUGAAGUCUAGGUUGAUUUUCACAGGCGUCCAGCUUACAGCAAGUAACCUUCCAGUAUUCCAGUGAAUUUUGAAAUAGUUAAUGCAUUGAAAUUAGCGUUUUUAGAAUUUAUUUCCUUCUGUUUUAAAGGAGGCAUUUUUGAAAUAACAAAACUUAAUUUGAAAGUACAUCUUUUAUUAUGUGUGUAUAUCCCACAAAAAGAUGUUUUGAAUAGUGAUAUUUAUAUUUGUAACACUUAUGUUAACCAGUUUAUUAGUUUAAAUCAGUACUUUGUACAUAAUAGGCAUUCAACAA
Non-coding RNA from Miniopterus natalensis, 1510 nucleotides. The record is from RefSeq and is a predicted model, not a curated record. NCBI's taxonomy places the organism in Eukaryota, Metazoa, Chordata, Mammalia, Chiroptera, Miniopteridae.